CGUGCUUAACACAUGCAAGUCGAACGAAGCACCCCUACCGAAGAUUCUUGCGAGCUUGCUCAAGAGAUGAUUCACUUGGGGUGACUGAGUGGCGGACGGGUGAGUAACGCGUGGGUAACCUGCCUCACACAGGGGGAUAACAGUUAGAAAUGACUGCUAAUACCGCAUAAGCGCACAGUAUCGCAUGGUACAGUGUGAAAAACGUUAGUGGUGUGAGAUGGACCCGCGUCUGAUUAGCUAGUUGGAGGGGUAACGGCCCACCAAGGCGACGAUCAGUAGCCGACUUGAGAGAGUGAUCGGCCACAUUGGGACUGAGACACGGCCCAGACUCCUACGGGAGGCAGCAGUGGGGAAUAUUGCACAAUGGGCGAAAGCCUGAUGCAGCGACGCCGCGUGAAGGAUUGAAGUAUUUCGGUAUGUAAACUUCUAUCAGCAAGGAAGAAAAUGACGGUACUUGACUAAGAAGCCCCGGCUAAAUACGUGCC
This 485-nucleotide ribosomal RNA is filed under the name uncultured organism. RNAcentral describes it as "SSU rRNA". It matches the Rfam family "Bacterial small subunit ribosomal RNA", at positions 43 to 509 of the family's 1533-position model. The record is from RNAcentral.